RNAcentral lists this non-coding RNA (117 nucleotides) under Nomascus leucogenys (northern white-cheeked gibbon). The record is from Rfam by way of RNAcentral. Lineage: Eukaryota; Metazoa; Chordata; Mammalia; Primates; Hylobatidae.
GCCGGGUGUGGUGGCUCACGCCUGUAAUCCCAGCACUUUGGGAGGCCGAGGUGGGCGGAUCACCUGAGGUCAGGAGUUCAAGACCAGCCUGGCCAACAUGGUGAAACUCCAUCUCUA